AGGGCAUCAGUGGCUGUGUUGAUGAGCGGAACCAUCUACACUCAAGUGGAGAGAUAAGGACAGAUGUAAACCAGUCCUCUAUAUACUCCAGUGAAUCAUCAUAGCUCCAUAAACACAACAGCACAGACAUUUAAACUACACAUAUUGCAAAAGAUGCAGACGUACAGUAACCAACUGCAAAAGUGAACGCUGGGUGUUUAAAGGUUUAUGAGUUCCUUCUGGUCACAAAGAAAAAUAUUUAACUUGCUGACCAGUUGAAAUGAAGACAUAAAGAAGGUACAAAGUUAAUAUUAAAUUUAUUUAAAUUUACACUUAAAUGAUACAAAUUAUGUAUUAAUAAAAGUAAAAAAUAAGCACCACCAAAAACUAGAUGUUUAUCUCUUUUACCAGAAACUUUGAGUUUUUUCCUUCCUCAUUUCAAACAUUGUGUAAGCUAAAGAUGGGGGAGAUGUCGAGACCCAACAAAAACAAAUAACAAACACUUGAAUGAUGACAUUUAUAAACUGACUCAGACACACAAGAUUCAAAUCAUUCUCUUAUAGGUAAAAGUUCUCGGCUUAAUUAGAGGAAUCUUGUUGAUCUUCUAGUUCUUAUCUUAUCUUAUCUUAUCUUAUCUUAUUUUAUCUUAUCUUAUCUUAUUUUAUUUGUCUUGGAUACAUGAGGAAUCUUUAUUUUCUCACUUCUUUCAUCUUGGCAGCACUGAAAGAUGGGGUCAGGACGCUCCGCACUCGUUUCCA
Oreochromis niloticus (Nile tilapia) is the source of this 737-nucleotide long non-coding RNA. RefSeq lists it as uncharacterized. The transcript is spliced from 2 exons. The record is from RefSeq and is a predicted model, not a curated record. Lineage: Eukaryota; Metazoa; Chordata; Actinopteri; Cichliformes; Cichlidae.